AUCGACUAAAUAUGGACAAACAUAAACUCGAACUCUUCCUGGCUCUGAGACUCGUGGAGGCUUUUUUAGAGGCGAUGGAAAAACAAGCAGAAAUUCUGGCAAAUCGGAAUGCUGCAUGUCGCCCUGAAAGUCCCAGGAGCUCUGCUGAAAGGAAAAGAUUAAUAAACCUUGCAAUAGAAAACUGCAAAGAUGAAACUGUCCUGCAGUGGCUGAGAGAAAAUUCAGAGUCUGGCACCUUCAGAAAACUCUCAGACAUGUUUGAUUUCCUGAAAAGUAAAAUUGAUGAAGAAGAAAAGAAGAACCACAGUGACACUGUUGACAUAAUCUUUGUGGCACAUGGAUCAAUCAGAGACUCCAUGAUCCCAGCCAGCUGUUUGCUGCCUCUGCCCACCAUCACUGACCUGGUCCUGUACUCUCCCUGGAACUGUGGCACCACUGGUGCUGUAACCUAUGGCAUUGCAACAGGAAAAAUGAGGCCACAGCACAGAGUUUUUUACCGUUCACUACCGUUUUUUCUCCACAGUAGAAUUCUUUUUGACAAAUAUCAACCCCUGAACCUGCCAGACUACUGGAACUCACUGAAGAAAGCUAAAGGACGGAACAUCCCAAACAUCAUUGUUAGCCCUCUGCAGCCAAAUGACGGUGUGUGGGAAACAUUUAAGUCUCUCUCAACAAAACAUGGUCCACCAGGAAGAAACCGCAUCGUCAUCCCGUUCAUCCUCCCAGAAGAGAGUGAAAGUGUCCCGUUCUCUGUCGUCGCCUUGGCUCUGUCCCUGGUGCUCCUCUCUUCCAGGUUUAAAGCCACCGUUCACCUUGAUACCUGUCUGAGUGAUAAGUCUACAGGACAGAAAUCUGACAGGAAGUAUCUGCAGGAGCAGUACUACUGCACUGAAGACAACACUGGGAUGACAUGUUCACCAGAUGCAUUCAGUGUGAACU
Molecule: long non-coding RNA, 939 nt
Organism: Oreochromis aureus
Lineage: Eukaryota; Metazoa; Chordata; Actinopteri; Cichliformes; Cichlidae
Source: Ensembl